RNAcentral lists this transfer RNA (75 nucleotides) under Candidatus Poribacteria bacterium. RNAcentral describes it as "tRNA-Val". It matches the Rfam family "tRNA". From Rfam's summary of the family: Transfer RNA (tRNA) molecules are approximately 80 nucleotides in length. The record is from RNAcentral. Lineage: Bacteria; Candidatus Poribacteria.
GGGGCGUUAGCUCAGGGGUAGAGCGCUACCUUCACACGGUAGAAGUCACUGGUUCAAAUCCAGUACGUCCCACCA